GUCGCCUUGAAUCGUGGGAAAUCUUAGCAGGUAGCGAAUAUGUGUGUGUAUACAUAUAAAUAAAGUUGAAAUGAAGACUCACAGCAACAAAGGAAUGGAAAACGAUUGCGAAGCAACAGAGUACAUGGGAACAAUCAUAAUCACAUUGUUUUGUGGUUAAGAAAGGAGCCUGGAAGAAAGCAGGUAUGGAGUCAACCCCGCUGAUAGUUGUCAAAGACAUGGUGCUCAUUUGUACGUUGUAAACGCAGAC
This is a long non-coding RNA of Hippocampus zosterae (dwarf seahorse), 250 nucleotides long. RefSeq lists it as uncharacterized. NCBI's taxonomy places the organism in Eukaryota, Metazoa, Chordata, Actinopteri, Syngnathiformes, Syngnathidae. The transcript is spliced from 2 exons. The record is from RefSeq and is a predicted model, not a curated record.